RNAcentral lists this ribosomal RNA (411 nucleotides) under uncultured prokaryote. Its description in RNAcentral is "partial 16S ribosomal RNA". The record is from RNAcentral.
CCCUACGGGGUGCGGGGUAUGGGGUGCGGGGUAUGGGGUACGAGGUAUGAGGUUCGGGGUGCGGGGUGUGAAUACGGACAACGAAGGGAUCAUAUGAUUCUCAACGAGCUUUCAUCUUUUCUUUUGCAAUUUGCCACCAUUUUAAAUAACUUUAUGGAAAACCCGGAAUCCCUGGCGGAUUCAGAAUAGUUACAGGUUAUGCAAACGAUCCGGGCAGUCAUUAUUGAUGAUGAGAGAUAUGCAUGCGAACGCCUGAAAAAACUGCUUAUCCCCUAUUCCAAGAUUCAGGUAACAAAUAUUUUCACUGACUCCGGAUCAGGAUUGAAAUACAUCCUUGAAGAAAAACCCGAUCUUGUUGUUCUUGAUAUUGAGAUGGAAAAAGGCGCUUCGGCCUUUGAUAUGAUCGGGAGC